CCUACGGGUGGCAGCAGUGGGGAAUAUUGCACAAUGGGGGGAACCCUGAUGCAGCGACGCCGCGUGAGUGAAGAAGUAUUUCGGUAUGUUAAGCUCUAUCAGCAGGGAAGAAGAUGACGGUACCUGACUAAGAAGCCCCGGCUAACUACGUGCCAGCAGCCGCGGUAAUACGUAGGGUGCAAGCGUGAUACGGAUUUACUGGGGGUAAAGGGAGCGUAGACGGCAGGGCAAGUCUGGAGUGAAUGCCCGGGGCCCAACCCCGGGACUGCUUUGGAAACGGCCAUGCUAGAGUGCUGGAGAGGUAAGCGGAAUUCCUAGUGUAGCGGUGAAAUGCGUAGAUAUUAGGAGGAACACCAGUGGCGAAGGCGGCUUACGGGACAGUAACUGACGUUGAGGCUCGAAAGCGUGGGGAGCAAACAGGAUUAGAUACCCGAGUAGUC
RNAcentral lists this ribosomal RNA (440 nucleotides) under uncultured bacterium. RNAcentral's name for it is "partial 16S ribosomal RNA". It matches the Rfam family "Bacterial small subunit ribosomal RNA", at positions 338 to 795 of the family's 1533-position model. The record is from RNAcentral.